RNAcentral lists this long non-coding RNA (585 nucleotides) under Homo sapiens (human). RNAcentral describes it as "HSALNT0240927". Lineage: Eukaryota; Metazoa; Chordata; Mammalia; Primates; Hominidae. The record is from RNAcentral.
UGCAAUGGCAUGAUCUCAGCUCGCUGCAACCUCUGGCUCCAGGGUUCAAGUGAUUCUCUGGCCUCAGCCUCCUGAGUAGCUGGGAUUACAGGUGCACACCACCACGCCCAGCUAAUUUUCUAUUUUUAAUAGAGACGGGGUUUCACCAUGUUGACCAGGCUGGUCUUGAACUUCUGAUCUUAGGUGAUCGGCCUUCCAAAAGUGCUGGGAUUACAGGCAUGAGCCACCGUGCCUGGCCCCAGAACAUUCUUGCAUUCUUGAAUUUCCAUGGGAAUUUUUUUUUCCAUUUUAAUCUCUCAGGCAUUAGAAACCAGAAGUGGCUGUGGCUUUGGGUCUCCAUGUAGUCAUUUUUAGCUGUGCAAAUCUGAGUAAAAUCUUACAAACAAGGAACUUGAGAUUCAACUCCCAUUUUUCCAAUGAGGUAACAAAUACCCACUUCAUAGGGCUAUGAUGAAGACUGAUAUAAAAUGUAAUAUUGGCAGUUAGCUCCAUUUUCUCUAUCUUCCUUCACUGUUUCCAGCAAAUACAGCAGGACUGAACUAUGUGAUGACUUCAUUCUCUUUGCUCAAAAAGGAUUCCAAUCUC